AGCAGCCGCGGUAAUUCCAGCUCCAAUAGCGUAUAUUAAAGUUGUUGCAGUUAAAAAGCUCGUAGUUGAAUUUCGGGAUUGACACAUCGGUCGUGCCUUAAGGGGUAUGAACUGGUGUAGUCAAUUUCUCACCUUCUGGAGAACCGCGAUGCCCUUAAUUGGGUGUCGCGGGGAACCAGGACCUUUACUUUGAAAAAAUUGAGUGUUUAAAGCAGGCAUUUUGCUUGAAUACAUUAGCAUGGAAUAAUAAAAUAGGACGGCAUGAUUCUAUUUUGUUGGUUUCUAGGAUCACCGUAAUGAUUAAUAGGGAUAGUUGGGGGCAUUAGUAUUCAAUUGUCAGAGGUGAAAUUCUUGGAUUUAUUGAAGACUAACUACUGCGAAAGCAUUUGCCAAGGAUGUUUUCAUUAAUCAAGAACGAAAGUUAGGGGAUCGAAGACGAUCAGAUACCGUCGUAGUUUUAACCAUAACUAUGCCGACUAGGGAUCGGAUGAUGUUAAUUUUUUAAUGUACUCAUUCGGCG
Molecule: unclassified non-coding RNA, 520 nt
Filed under: uncultured Entrophospora
Lineage: Eukaryota; Fungi; Glomeromycota; Glomeromycetes; Entrophosporales; Entrophosporaceae
Description: SSU rRNA
Rfam family: Eukaryotic small subunit ribosomal RNA
Source: RNAcentral